RNAcentral lists this long non-coding RNA (5860 nucleotides) under Daucus carota (carrot). RNAcentral's name for it is "long non-coding RNA (DCAR_LNC002891)". Lineage: Eukaryota; Viridiplantae; Streptophyta; Magnoliopsida; Apiales; Apiaceae. The record is from RNAcentral.
GUGACAGCCCUCAAAUCCGGGGGUCUGGAUUUGGUGCCACUAAAAGAAAAACAAUUUAAAACCUGUAUUUUCGAAAGAAAUUAAAACAAGUAUUUCAAAACCUGAAUAUAUAAAAAAAAUGAUUUAAAUUAAAACUCAAUUUCACCCCCUUUAAAAUAGGAUCGCAAACAGGUUAUAGUAUUGAAAUCAGAAAACAAAACUACAGAUCUUAUUACAGCUUGAACUAUAUUAUCAACUAGACCUCGAUAUGAAGGAUAACCAAUAUCCAAUUUAACAAAUCUAUUCUUUUACAACUAAACCAAAUUUAGUCAACUCCAAUUACCACUAGUCCCACAGACACGAUCUUGAUUACUCUUCCUGACCAUCAGGUUGAAACUUAAUCACUUGCAAUCCUCGCCUAGCCUUACUCUUACGCUUAGCAUAAAUAGGCGAACCAUCUUUAACAUUAUCUGAAAGGGGUUAGAAGAAAUAGCAAGAAUGAGCAAAAGAAUGCUCAGCAAGUAUAUUAGUUAAAAAGAAACAGGAGUUAAUGCAGAGAAAGUAAUUGAACUGGAAGUAUACAAAACAACAUGCUUUUAACUUGAAACCAAAACAAUUCAAAAGUAUAUAUGAAUUUCCAAAGCAUUCAGAUAUAUUGGACGUUAAUAGUCACCGUAGAUGAUCAGUCUACAGUAACCCGGACAAUGGUUACGCAUUGCCCUAAAAUAAAAUGUUCCGGAACUGAAGACUAGCUAGGUCUCCAUAUAACGCUGGGCCAAGGGCCUCUUAUGCAAACAAAACAAUAGGCUGGGCAUAGACCUCUUACGCAAAGCUGGGCAUCGGCCUCUUACGCAAACAAAACAAUAGUCCAAUGAUUAUAUCUGAAUUUUUCUUUUACUUCCCAGUUCCAAAAAUUUCAAUGUAAUUUAAGUGUCUCAUUUGGAAGGAUAAUAAGUACUAUUCCCAUAAAGCAUUCAUUAAUCGUUCCAAUUCAAGUUUUAGGAAAGACUUUUUCCCAAGGUACAAGUGUUAAAUAAAAGCAGUAUUCAUAGAGAAAGAUGGGUUAGAUAUACUUGCUUUUAAAUAAAGAAGUAGCAUAGGAAUACUUGCAGUAAUUUCAAGUUAAGAAUAGAAUUACUCGCAAGAAAGCUUGAGAGAAAUUAAUCUAUCAAUAUCAUGAUUGAACAAAAUAUCUCACUUGAACAAUAAGUGAAGAGUUAUAGUACUUGCCUCAGUUCUGCUGAUUUUCACACCAAUUAAUUUCUACCGGACUAUCUCACAGCACAGCUUCGUCUUAAGGAACUAUUCCUGAUUAAAUUCACAAAGCUAUUCAACUACUUCUGAAUGUCCUUGAUAUACAAGUCUCGGUUGAUUCUCCACGAGUAACACGGUACUUCGGUUGUCGAUGCCGACGGAGUUAACUAAUAUCGAAUAACGUAUAAAAUCCGUAAUUAGCUACCCUUCGUAAAUCCAUAUACAUACCACAUAGUCAGAUAAACACAUAGCACAUAGUUGAACAAUUAACUUUUAUAGCUAUUAAAAGUCAAUAUUGAUAAGUUAACAAAUAACAUGUUUCAAUCAACCAUGUUACCUUAUUCUUAACUAUUUAAUAUCCUUCAACAAGUAAAACAUAUAUAAUUUCUAUCGAAAAUUCGGCAGCAUCUCCUCUAUGUAUCGGACUAUCCACCUGUUUCCCUAUACUAUGCAACAAGUAAUCAACUCAAUCCACUCAAUAAACCAAUCAUAUAACAUCAACCAUUACUCAUUGACUGGAUUUAAAUAAUUAGCAAACUCUGAAAUCAUAUGCUAAAUCAUAAGCCAAUAAUUCAACUUUUUAACCAAAUAUUUCUCAAAGAUCUUUAUAAAUAUAUUCCAGAGGUCGCGGAAAUUUCAACCCAACUCAUAGAUUUAAACUUGCAAAAACAAUUCUCUUUGUAACAGCAAAACAGAAUUUUCACAAGUAUGUGCUACCGACAUUCAAACAUUUUUAAUAAAUCAAAAAUACAAGUUUUUCACUUGAAAUUUUUAUGAGACCUCCCUAAACUCGCUGACUAACUACAAAAUAAGUUUUGACUUGAAAAUCAAAGUUUAAGUAAUUAAACUAUAAUUUAGAAAGUCGAAAAGUGAAGCAGUUUUGUACUCUGCGCAUACCAUAAUAAAACUAUCAUAUCUCCUAGCUCGCUAAUCGAAUCGAUUCGAUUCUUUCGCGCACAUAAAGUAGACUCUGAGAAGAUCAUGAAUCUCUGAAAGUCUGAUUUUAAAAAUGAUCUUAAGCUGUUCGAAAAAGAGCUCCAAACAGAGGCAGCGCUGCUGCGAAAACUUGACUUCAAAUGACUCGAUAAUUUAUAAACAAUUUCAUAUUAAUCACAACUCUUACUAAUUUAUUCAAUUCAAUAUAACACACAUAACAUAACAAUUUCUUCCCAACAAUUACAAAUUUAGAGUGUAAUUAAACCCCUAAUUCAUAUGAACCCAUGUACACAAUUAAUUCCCAAUCGAGUAAACAUUAUCCCAAUUAGUCUAUAAUCACGUAGUUAAUUAAAUCAAACUCUAAAUCAAAGCAAUUCUCAACUAAUGCAAAGCAAGUGUAUAUACACAUAUAUAUACAUUUAUACAACUGAUUGGUCUCAAAAUUGGCUAACUUAAUCAAUUCAAAUCGUAGCGAACACAGCACAACAUAUAUACACAUACAUAUAUAAACUGAUUUUAUAAAGAAGAAUGGAUUUAUACCCACUGAUUUAUAACUGGUGCAGGGCUAUGGUGGUCGCCGGAAGAGGAAGAAAUAGGCGGUGUUGGUUCUGGCCGGAAAAGGAAGCGGCGGCAGAGAAUCCCGAUGGAAUAUGGCGACCGUACGUACAGAGGCGAGAGAUGGAGGGAAGUGUGCAGGGAGAUGGUAGCGAGAGACCGAAGGAAUGGCGUGAGAUUGGGGAGAUAUUUGCGAGAGAAAGUAGUCCCCCGAAUACUGUGAUUUAACGAGAGAGAUGAGGUUUCACAGGGAAUAAAAGGAAAAGGGUUUACAGGGGUGUAUACGUGGCUGAAGGAAGAGAAGUGUGGAGACACGCGGAUAAAUUUUAAGCUGCCAACUAUUUUAUUAAACUGAGUAAGCAAUUAACUUCUACCCGCUUUCAACUAAUUUACGUAGAUUACUUGCAAUAAAAUUUCUCCCGACAACUACCAAAAUAUUUUUAUAAACCCCGGAAUAUUAUAAAACUAAUCAAAUAAAAGUUUCCGGAUUUAUAGAGCAUUUUCGGAAUUUAUACAAAAUUUAGAAGUUAGCUGCGUUCAGAAACUAAUUAAAAAUCAUGUCCUUAUAGAAAUAAGAUUUUUAAUAUUUUACAAACUCCUAAAAAUAUUUGUGAUCACUAUCGAGCAAUUAAAAUAAUUUUUGAAAUUAUCUUUGUAUUUUUACAGAUAUUUUUCCCCUAACCCCGAUGACAAGGAAAAUAAUUUAUACAAAUAUUUUUGAAAUUUACCAAACUGGAAUAAAAUAUUAAAUUUUAUUCCUCCUUUUUAUAAAAACCAUUAAUAAAAUAUUUUGAAAAAUCCGGGUUGUCACAAUCUACCCCCCUUAAAAGGAUUCCGUCCUCGGAAUCAGCGAAAAGAAAACUAGAGCGUACGAUCUCUUUAAUCCAUAAUACUUCUUUAUGAGGUGAUAUCCUCUUGAUUGUUGUCGUAUAUUCGCAUCAUCAUUCGCUUUUGCUCAUGGUACUUCCUACUAUAAAGGCUUAAUUUUACUUGGCAACUCAGUUGGCAUACAUUCAACUAUUAGAGAUUUCAAGAAAAUGAAAGAUUAGAUCUAUUGGAACAAAUAUUACGUGAUUGGAAACAAAAGAAUAACUGAGAGAUCAAUAUGAUCUAAAGAACUUGGUGUUGCGUGUCUAAAUUAAGACACUACUAAAGGUAGUUAACCUUCUUGUAAUGUACAACACACACAAGUCAUGGCGUCCCAUCCAACUCCUAUCACACAGCCUGGUAGUCCUUGUGUCACCUAUAGGUAGGGUUGUUCAUCUCAGUUAGAGUAGAAUGAUAUAAUAGAUAUUCAAAAUCAAUUAAGAAUGAUUAACUUUUGAUGAAUGAAUCUUUGAUGCGCACCUUGGGUUAAAAAUUGAAUAAGUUCCAAAGGUGCUAGUUUCAAUGAAAAGAUUAGUUAGAAAUGAUAAAAUAGACACAAGUAACAUUUUAUAACUCAAGAGAUAGAAAUGUAGUCUUUAUCAAACGUCUCUAGGAAAAGAUGUCAAGACAAUUCAUUGAUGAAGAAGGUAAUCAAUAUAAUCAACAAAAAGGAAGGUAUUGCCAAGAUUCUUCUCGAUCUGCUGCUCUAAUGGAUCAUUAUUCAAUUCUAUAAUCAAUAUUAUCAUUAACUUAUAAUAGUCUUUGAAGAUUCCAUAACAUAUAUUGUCGUCAAUAAGAUGUCAUAUCCAGCUUCAAACAAUCAACAUCACAAAGCGUUGACAUCUUAUCUCACUCAUAGAUACUAUAUCGAGUAAUCCAAGACAAACUUUACUUAGCUCUAUCGUUCGCUACUUAACAAUAUACCACGCUUAAAACUCGGACCAAGUAACACCCCUAUUCUUUUACCAAUUCCAUAUAUCUCUGAUAAGAAUCAAAAGGUAACUCCCCAAAUACUAUUCAAAAAUUGGCAGAUACUACAAAGAUUACUCUAGACUAUGUGAGAACCUUUACUGGUCCAACCUCAAUUAGAUCCCAUUAUAAAGCUAACCUAAUAGGUCUAUCUUUCACCCUUCAAAUGAUUUAGACUCUAAAUCAAAUAACAAGCUAAAUACUGAAGGAAAUCUUAUCCACCAACUAUGGGUUUCAAUCAAACUGGUGUUAAAAAAUUUUAAUCCAUAUAUAAACACUUAAAGUUACUCUUCAAAUUCCGGCAAAAAAAAAGUUACUCUUCAAAUUUAUCUCAAUCUUGGUGAUGAGGACUAUGAAAUAGUUAGUGAUUUUUUUAGACUCAACAGGAGAAUCUAUUUGUUUGCUAAUAUUGGUACUAACUAGGCAUGUUCUUCCUUCCCUAAGAUAUAAACUUACUAGUUCUGGGGCAAGAGAACUAUUAUACACACCAUGAAAUACUCAAAGUCAAUACUAUUCGGAAUCAUGUUUCUAUUGACACAUACUAUUCCAAAUAGCUGUAGACUACCUCUAUGUGAGUUUACACUUAGCGCACCUCUUUAUUAAACCUGAUAUUACCACUAUUAUUCUGAUUUCAAUAACUUAUAACCUGCAGCUCUGAUACCAGCUGUGACAGCCCUCAAAUCCGGGGGUCUGGAUUUGGUGCCACUAAAAGAAAAACAAUUUAAAACCUGUAUUUACGAAAAAAAUUAAAACAAGUAUUUCAAAACCUUAAUAUAUAAAAAAAAUGAUUUAAAUUAAAACUCAAUUUCACCCCCUUUAAAAUAGGAUCGCAAACAGGUUAUAGUAUUGAAAUCAGAAAACAAAACUACAGAUCUUAUUACAGCUUGAACUAUAUUAUCAACUAGACCUCGAUAUGAAGGAUAACCAAUAUCCAAUUUAACAAAUCUAUUCUUUUACAACUAAACCAAAUUUAGUCAACUCCAAUUACCACUAGUCCCACAGACACGAUCUUGAUUACUCUUCCUGACCAUCAGGUUGAAACUUAAUCACUUGCAAUCCUCGCCUAGCCUUACUCUUACGCUUAGCAUAAAUAGGCGAACCAUCUUUAACAUUAUCUGAAAGGGGUUAGAAGAAAUAGCAAGAAUGAGCAAAAGAAUGCUCAGCAAGUAUAUAAUAUCCAAACCAACAAUAAAUCAAACAGUAUGUAAAACCUGACAAUGAUAUAAAGAUAAUGAUACCAACACAAUAUGAUUUAAACAAAACAGUUUCUCCUUUAUGGAAUUGGAACCAAAUAAGACGC